RNAcentral lists this ribosomal RNA (450 nucleotides) under uncultured bacterium. Its description in RNAcentral is "partial 16S ribosomal RNA". It matches the Rfam family "Bacterial small subunit ribosomal RNA", at positions 29 to 507 of the family's 1533-position model. The record is from RNAcentral.
AUGCAUGCUGGCGGCGUGCCUAACACAUGCAAGUCGCGCGGCAGCGAGGGGUGCUUGCACCCUGUCGGCGAGCGGCGAACGGCUGAGUAACGCGUAGGAAUUUGCCCCAAAGUGAGGAAUAACUGCCCGAAAGGGUAGCUAAUGCCGCAUAUGGUCUUCGGAUUAAAGGAUUUAUCCGCUUUGGGAGAAGCCUGCGUUGGAUUAGGUUGUUGGUAGGGUAAUGGCCUACCAAGCCGACGAUCCAUAGCUGGUCUGAGAGGAUGAUCAGCCAGACUGGAACUGAGACACGGUCCAGACUCCUACGGGAGGCAGCAGUGAGGAAUCUUCCACAAUGGGCGAAAGCCUGAUGGAGCAACGCCGCGUGAAGGAUGAAGGCCUUCGGGUUGUAAACUUCUUUUAUGAGUGAAGAAUAUGACGGUAACUCAUGAAUAAGCACCGGCUAACUACGUG